UUGGUUUUGGCCUUCGACACAACUUCAGAAGUGUUUGGGGAAUCAAAGGGCGGCUCUUAAUUGGGUUCGCCUUCCCCUUGCGGUUCUGAUAGUUUACUUUGAGAAAAAUAGAGCGUUCAAAGCAGGCAAUAUUGUUUGCCAUUGAAUACAUUAGCAUGGGAUAAUAGAAUAGGAUACUUUCUCCUUGGCUGGUCCCUUCUUAACCGGGCCUUCGUGGCUCGGUUGGGGGUUGGCCUUGGGGGUUUUUUGGUCUUCUAUUUUAAUGGUUUGCGGACCAGUAUAAUGAUUAAUAGGGACAGUUGGGGACAUUCAUAUUGCUUGGCUAGAGGUGAAAUUCUUGGAUUCAAGCAAGAUGAACUACUGCGAAAGCAUUUGUCAAAGAUGUUUUCAUUGAUCAAGAACGAAAGUUAGGGGAGCAAAGAUGAUUAGAUACCGUCGUAGUCUUAACCAUAAACGAUGCCGACCAGAGAUCGGUGGUUGUUUAUUUGGCGAUUUAUUUCGCCAAAGUGACACCAUCGGCAUCUUCCGGGAAACCAAAGUCUUUGGGUUCCGGGGGGAGUAUGGUCGCAAGGCUGAAACUUAAAGGAAUUGACGGAAGGGCACCACCAGGAGUGGAGCCUGCGGCUUAAUUUGACCCAACACGGGAAAACUCACCAGGUCCAGACAUGUUAAGGAUUGACAGAUUGAGAGCUCUUUCUUGAUUACAUGAAAGGUGGCGCAUGGCCGUUCUUAGUUGGUGGAGUGAUCUGUCUGGUUAAUUCCGAUAACGAACGAGACCUUGACCUGCUAAAUAGUCGGGUGAAGUGUGUCUUGGCCUUUUUUGGCCUUUUCAUGCUUUGUUAUUUCGCUCAGACUCUGUUUGGGCGGGACCCUCGGUCAUAUUGGGAGGGCGUAAUCCUUUCAUUAGGGUUUGCCUUUUCGAUUGGCCUUGGGCGACUUCUUAGAGGGACUAUCUGUUUCUAGCAGAUGGAGGUUCAAGGCGAUAACAGGUCUGUGAUGCCCUUAGAUGUCCUGGGCUGCACGCGCGCUACACUGACGAACUCAACGAGUUUAUAACCUUGGCAGAGAUGUCUGGGUAAUCUUUUCAAAGUUCGUCGUGCUGGGGCUAGAUGAUUGUAAUUAUUCGUCUUAAACGAGGAAUUCCUAGUAAGUGUGAGUCAUCAGCUCGCGCUGAUUACGUCCCUGCCCUUUGUACACACCGCCCGUCGCUCCUACCGAUUGAAUGGUCCGGUGAGAACUUCGGAUUUUGCGCAUGUUAUUGCUGGUUCGCCAGCAAUGUGCGCGAGAGAAGUUGUUCAAACCUUACCAUUUAGAGGAAGGAGAAGUCGUAACAAGGU
This 1337-nucleotide ribosomal RNA is filed under the name metagenome. Its description in RNAcentral is "bacterial SSU rRNA". It matches the Rfam family "Eukaryotic small subunit ribosomal RNA", at positions 636 to 1800 of the family's 1831-position model. The record is from RNAcentral.